CCUACGGGGGGCAGCAGUGGGGAAUAUUGGACAAUGGGGGGAACCCUGAUCCAGCCAUGCCGCGUGUGUGAAGAAGGCCCUCGGGUUGUAAAGCACUUUCAGUGAGGAAGAACGCCUGGUGGUUAAUACCCAUCAGGAAAGACAUCACUCACAGAAGAAGCACCGGCUAACUCCGUGCCAGCAGCCGCGGUAAUACGGAGGGUGCGAGCGUUAAUCGGAAUUACUGGGCGUAAAGCGCGCGUAGGUGGCUUGAUAAGCCGGUUGUGAAAGCCCCGGGCUCAACCUGGGAACGGCAUCCGGAACUGUCAAGCUAGAGUGCAGGAGAGGAAGGUAGAAUUCCCGGUGGAGCGGUGAAAUGCGUAGAGAUCGGGAGGAAUACCAGUGGCGAAGGCGGCCUUCUGGACUGACACUGACACUGAGGUGCGAAAGCGUGGGUAGCAAACCGGAUUAGAUACCCGAGUAGUC
RNAcentral lists this ribosomal RNA (465 nucleotides) under Vreelandella stevensii. RNAcentral describes it as "partial 16S ribosomal RNA". It matches the Rfam family "Bacterial small subunit ribosomal RNA", at positions 338 to 795 of the family's 1533-position model. Lineage: Bacteria; Pseudomonadati; Pseudomonadota; Gammaproteobacteria; Oceanospirillales; Halomonadaceae. The record is from RNAcentral.